UGACUUCCUAGAUUCUGCAAGUUGGAGAUUUUUCUAUUAUAAUUAUAUUUUGUUUUUUCAUUAAUUAAGUUUGUAUAAAACACGUUUUCUCCAUAAUAACGGUCAAUUGUGUGAUUUAGAAAAGGUCAGUCGUAACGCCAAAAUAAUAAUUUCUCAUUGUAUUUUUGUAAAAAUUAAAUGUAUUUUGUCCGGAAUCUCACAUGAUAAGUGUGAUAAAAACGUAAGAGUAAUAUAUAAAAGACAAACAAUUUUAUCAUUGCUAAUUGACCAAAGAAAUAAAGAAAAUGUAAACUUAAAAAUAUCUCUUUUCAAAAUUGGGAAGAUUUUUUUUUAUUAUUUUGUUUUUGUGUUCUAUUUUUUGUUUGUUCAUGAAUGAUAUUGUUAAAAAGAAGGCACAACUUAAGCAUUAGUGAUAGUUAGGAGCUAUUUUGGGACAAUGCACAUCUAAGUAAAAAUGUUGUGACCGGUUGAUCAUAUCGAGAACCG
RNAcentral lists this long non-coding RNA (486 nucleotides) under Capsella rubella. RNAcentral describes it as "long non-coding RNA (CRUB_LNC004448)". Lineage: Eukaryota; Viridiplantae; Streptophyta; Magnoliopsida; Brassicales; Brassicaceae. The record is from RNAcentral.